This 696-nucleotide long non-coding RNA is filed under the name Equus asinus (donkey). RNAcentral's name for it is "lncRNA (ENSEASG00005027465.1)". The record is from RNAcentral. Lineage: Eukaryota; Metazoa; Chordata; Mammalia; Perissodactyla; Equidae.
GUCACAGUGAAUCCUCCACCUGCUGUGCUCUGAAUGUUGCAGAUCUUUGGCAUCUGUCACAGACUUCAUGAUGUAAAGGCCACAAUGUCACAGUUAAAUUCCACCCAAAAUGUUGUGAGAGACAAUACUUUCUGUUCUCAGUAUAUGUCUACCUGGAAAUCUGGGGUGGAAUAUGAGAAGUCAAAUGAGAAAGUAUGGAAGACAAGAUGUCUGCUUGACAGUUUCUCCUGGGACUGACCUUGAUGGAGACUGCUCAGAUCUUCUCUGCUGAUUCUUCCGUUGUCCAUACCUCAGAGGUGGAAACAACUCAAGUGUCCAUCAACAGAUGAAUGGAUAAACAAAAUGUGGUAUACAUAUACAAUGAGAUAUUAUUCAGUGAUUAAAAUGAAUGAAGUUCUGAUACAUCCUAUGACAUGGAGGAACCUUGAAAACUUUAUGCUAAGUGAAUGAAGCCAGACACAAAAGGACAAAUAUUGUAUGAUGCCACUUAUAUGUGGUACCUAACAUAGGGAAAUUCUUAGAAACAGAAAAUCGAUUACUGGUCACUAGGAACUAGGAGAGGGAGGAAUGAGGAGUUAUUGUUUAAUGGGUACAGAGUUUCUGUUUGGGGUGAUGAAAAAAAUUUGGAAAUAGCUAGUGGUGACGGUUGCCUAACAUUGUGAAUGUAAUAAACACCACUAAAUUGUACAUAUAAAA